RNAcentral lists this ribosomal RNA (253 nucleotides) under uncultured bacterium. RNAcentral's name for it is "partial 16S ribosomal RNA". It matches the Rfam family "Bacterial small subunit ribosomal RNA", at positions 524 to 776 of the family's 1533-position model. The record is from RNAcentral.
UACGAAGGGGGCUAGCGUUGUUCGGAAUUACUGGGCGUAAAGCGCGCGCAGGCGGUCUUCCAAGUCAGUGGUGAAAGCCCGGAGCUCAACUUCGGAAUUGCCAUUGAAACUGUUAGACUUGAGGAUGAGAGAGGUGAGUGGAAUUCCCAGUGUAGAGGUGAAAUUCGUAGAUAUUGGGAAGAACACCGAUGGCGAAGGCAGCCAUCUGGACCGGAACUGACGCUGAGGAGCGAAAGCGUGGGGAGCAAACAGG